AGCGUAGUCGAUGGAAAACAGGUUAAUAUUCCUGUACUUCUAGUUAUUGCGAUGGAGGGACGGAGAAGGCUAGGCCAGCUUGGCGUUGGUUGUCCAAGUUUAAGGUGGUAGGCUGAGAUCUUAGGUAAAUCCGGGAUCUUAAGGCCGAGAGCUGAUGACGAGUUGCCUUUAGGCGACGAAGUGGUUGAUGCCAUGCUUCCAAGAAAAGCUUCUAAGCUUCAGAUAACUAGGAACCGUACCCCAAACCGACACAGGUGGUUGGGUAGAGAAUACCAAGGCGCUUGAGAGAACUCGGGUGAAGGAACUAGGCAAAAUGGCACCGUAACUUCGGGAGAAGGUGCGCCGGUGAGGGUGAAGGACUUGCUCCGUAAGCCCAUGCCGGUCGAAGAUACCAGGCCGCUGCGACUGUUUAUUAAAAACACAGCACUCUGCAAACACGAAAGUGGACGUAUAGGGUGUGACGCCUGCCCGGUGCCGGAAGGUUAAUUGAUGGGGUUAGCUAACGCGAAGCUCUUGAUCGAAGCCCCGGUAAACGGCGGCCGUAACUAUAACGGUCCUAAGGUAGCGAAAUUCCUUGUCGGGUAAGUUCCGACCUGCACGAAUGGCGUAACGAUGGCGGCGCUGUCUCCACCCGAGACUCAGUGAAAUUGAAAUCGCUGUGAAGAUGCAGUGUAUCCGCGGCUAGACGGAAAGACCCCGUGAACCUUUACUAUAGCUUUGCACUGGACUUUGAAUUUGCUUGUGUAGGAUAGGUGGGAGGCUUUGAAGCGUGGACGCCAGUUCGCGUGGAGCCAUCCUUGAAAUACCACCCUGGCAACUUUGAGGUUCUAACUCAGGUCCGUUAUCCGGAUCGAGGACAGUGUAUGGUGGGUAGUUUGACUGGGGCGGUCUCCUCCUAAAGAGUAACGGAGGAGUACGAAGGUGCGCUCAGACCGGUCGGAAAUCGGUCGUAGAGUAUAAAGGCAAAAGCGCGCUUGACUGCGAGACAGACACGUCGAGCAGGUACGAAAGUAGGUCUUAGUGAUCCGGUGGUUCUGUAUGGAAGGGCCAUCGCUCAACGGAUAAAAGGUACUCCGGGGAUAACAGGCUGAUACCGCCCAAGAGUUCAUAUCGACGGCGGUGUUUGGCACCUCGAUGUCGGCUCAUCACAUCCUGGGGCUGAAGCCGGUCCCAAGGGUAUGGCUGUUCGCCAUUUAAAGUGGUACGCGAGCUGGGUUUAGAACGUCGUGAGACAGUUCGGUCCCUAUCUGCCGUGGACGUUUGAGAUUUGAGAGGGGCUGCUCCUAGUACGAGAGGACCGGAGUGGACGAACCUCUGGUGUUCCGGUUGUCACGCCAGUGGCAUUGCCGGGUAGCUAUGUUCGGAAGAGAUAACCGCUGAAAGCAUCUAAGCGGGAAACUUGCCUCAAGAUGAGAUCUCACUGGAGCCUUGAGCUCCCUGAAGGGCCGUCGAAGACUACGACGUUGAUAGGUUGGGUGUGUAAGCGCUGUGAGGCGUUGAGCUAACCAAUACUAAUUGCCCGUGAGGCUUGACC
Molecule: ribosomal RNA, 1534 nt
Filed under: Pseudomonas wadenswilerensis
Lineage: Bacteria; Pseudomonadati; Pseudomonadota; Gammaproteobacteria; Pseudomonadales; Pseudomonadaceae
Description: bacterial LSU rRNA
Rfam family: Bacterial large subunit ribosomal RNA
Source: RNAcentral